GGAAGACUCUAUCAGUUAGUAUUUGUUCUCGGAAGGGCUAUGAUUAAUAUUGAAUAAUCAGACAUAGUACGCUAAGGUUGUAUGUCUAAAGGGAAACAGCCCAGAACAAGUGUUAAUAAGGUUCCAAAAUUAUUCUUAAGUGAAAUAAAGGUAGUCUAUGUCUUAAACGUCCAGGAAAUGGGCUUAGAAGCGGCCAUUUUUUAAAGACCUCGUAAUAGAGCACUGGUUAUCCUAAUUUUUUUAGGGUAAAUUUAGAAGUUAUAAAAACUUCUUAAAAUUUACAUGGAUGUAGGCACCGACGAUACAACGGAUCUAAAUAAUAUACCGAAACCUUGUCCAUAUAUAUCUGUAUAUAUUUAGAUAUAUAUCGUAUAAUGGGGUAGCGGAACAUUGGGUAUACCAUACCUUUUUUAUAAGAAAAAAAAAUUAGGUAUCCCAAGUGAUAAUGCUGACAUGAGUAACGAUAAAGGGAGAUUAUUAUCCGUAGCCAAUAGGUAUUAGGUAAUAAUCAUAAAUUCCCUCGCCUAAAGCUUAUGGUAUUUAGUUAAAGUAACGGCCUCUAAGUUUAUAACUAGUAAUUAAAAUAUUUAAAGUGUUUUACUUAACCUAAAGGAUUAAACGAUGAGCAAAUCUUAUAAAAAUAUAUAUAAAUAACAUUUUUAGUGUAAAAGUGUUCUGGAAAAUUGUAUUUUUCUCUUUAUCCCUAGUAAACAAACUAAAAAGAUGAUACUAGAUUAAAGGAGUAGUAACCGUACCUAGAAACUACCACGAGUAAGCAAGUAGAG
RNAcentral lists this ribosomal RNA (785 nucleotides) under Dufourea turbinata. RNAcentral's name for it is "partial 23S ribosomal RNA". The stretch from base 1 to 453 matches the Rfam family "Bacterial large subunit ribosomal RNA", at positions 927 to 1301 of the family's 2925-position model. The record is from RNAcentral. Lineage: Eukaryota; Fungi; Ascomycota; Lecanoromycetes; Teloschistales; Teloschistaceae.